Molecule: ribosomal RNA, 253 nt
Filed under: uncultured bacterium
Lineage: Bacteria
Description: partial 16S ribosomal RNA
Rfam family: Bacterial small subunit ribosomal RNA
Source: RNAcentral
UACGGGGGGGGCAAGCGUUGUUCGGAAUUACUGGGCGUAAAGGGCUCGUAGGCGGUUUGUCGCGUCGGGAGUGAAAACCUCGGGCUUAACUCGGGGCUUGCUUUCGAUACGGGCAGACUGGAGGUAUGCAGGGGAGAACGGAAUUCCUGGUGUAGCGGUGAAAUGCGCAGAUAUCAGGAGGAACACCGGUGGCGAAGGCGGUUCUCUGGGCAUGACCUGACGCUGAGGAGCGAAAGUGUGGGGAGCGAACAGG